UACGUAGGGUCCGAGCGUUGUCCGGAAUUAUUGGGCGUAAAGGGCUCGUAGGCGGUUAGUCACGUCGGGAGUGAAAACUCAGGGCUCAACCCUGAGCGUGCUUCCGAUACGGGCUGACUAGAGGUAUGCAGGGGAGAACGGAAUUCCUGGUGUAGCGGUGGAAUGCGCAGAUAUCAGGAGGAACACCGGUGGCGAAGGCGGUUCUCUGGGCAUUACCUGACGCUAAAACGCGACAGCAUGGGGAGCAAACGGG
This 253-nucleotide ribosomal RNA is filed under the name uncultured bacterium. RNAcentral describes it as "partial 16S ribosomal RNA". It matches the Rfam family "Bacterial small subunit ribosomal RNA", at positions 524 to 776 of the family's 1533-position model. The record is from RNAcentral.